This 1658-nucleotide ribosomal RNA is filed under the name Salmonella enterica. RNAcentral describes it as "partial 23S ribosomal RNA". It matches the Rfam family "Bacterial large subunit ribosomal RNA", at positions 1159 to 2799 of the family's 2925-position model. The record is from RNAcentral. Lineage: Bacteria; Pseudomonadati; Pseudomonadota; Gammaproteobacteria; Enterobacterales; Enterobacteriaceae.
CUGCGCGGAAGAUGUAACGGGGCUAAACCAUGCACCGAAGCUGCGGCAGCGACACUUUAGUGUUGUUGGGUAGGGGAGCGUUCUGUAAGCCGUUGAAGGUGUGUCGUGAGGCAUGCUGGAGGUAUCAGAAGUGCGAAUGCUGACAUAAGUAACGAUAAAGCGGGUGAAAAGCCCGCUCGCCGGAAGACCAAGGGUUCCUGUCCAACGUUAAUCGGGGCAGGGUGAGUCGACCCCUAAGGCGAGGCCGAAAGGCGUAGUCGAUGGGAAACGGGUUAAUAUUCCCGUACUUGGUGUUACUGCGAAGGGGGGACGGAGAAGGCUAUGUUGGCCGGGCGACGGUAGUCCCGGUUUAAGCGUGUAGGUGUGUGUUCCAGGCAAAUCCGGUUCACUUUAACACUGAGGCGUGACGACGAGGCACCACGGUGCUGAAGCAACAAAUGCCCUGCUUCCAGGAAAAGCCUCUAAGCAUCAGGUAACAUCAAAUCGUACCCCAAACCGACACAGGUGGUCAGGUAGAGAAUACCAAGGCGCUUGAGAGAACUCGGGUGAAGGAACUAGGCAAAAUGGUGCCGUAACUUCGGGAGAAGGCACGCUGACACGUAGGUGAAGUGAUUUACUCAUGGAGCUGAAGUCAGUCGAAGAUACCAGCUGGCUGCAACUGUUUAUUAAAAACACAGCACUGUGCAAACACGAAAGUGGACGUAUACGGUGUGACGCCUGCCCGGUGCCGGAAGGUUAAUUGAUGGGGUCAGCGCAAGCGAAGCUCCUGAUCGAAGCCCCGGUAAACGGCGGCCGUAACUAUAACGGUCCUAAGGUAGCGAAAUUCCUUGUCGGGUAAGUUCCGACCUGCACGAAUGGCGUAAUGAUGGCCAGGCUGUCUCCACCCGAGACUCAGUGAAAUUGAACUCGCUGUGAAGAUGCAGUGUACCCGCGGCAAGACGGAAAGACCCCGUGAACCUUUACUAUAGCUUGACACUGAACAUUGAGCCUUGAUGUGUAGGAUAGGUGGGAGGCUUUGAAGCGUGGACGCCAGUCUGCGUGGAGCCGACCUUGAAAUACCACCCUUUAAUGUUUGAUGUUCUAACGUGGACCCGUAAUCCGGGUUGCGGACAGUGUCUGGUGGGUAGUUUGACUGGGGCGGUCUCCUCCUAAAGAGUAACGGAGGAGCACGAAGGUUGGCUAAUCCUGGUCGGACAUCAGGAGGUUAGUGCAAUGGCAUAAGCCAGCUUGACUGCGAGCGUGACGGCGCGAGCAGGUGCGAAAGCAGGUCAUAGUGAUCCGGUGGUUCUGAAUGGAAGGGCCAUCGCUCAACGGAUAAAAGGUACUCCGGGGAUAACAGGCUGAUACCGCCCAAGAGUUCAUAUCGACGGCGGUGUUUGGCACCUCGAUGUCGGCUCAUCACAUCCUGGGGCUGAAGUAGGUCCCAAGGGUAUGGCUGUUCGCCAUUUAAAGUGGUACGCGAGCUGGGUUUAGAACGUCGUGAGACAGUUCGGUCCCUAUCUGCCGUGGGCGCUGGAAGACUGAGGGGGGCUGCUCCUAGUACGAGAGGACCGGAGUGGACGCAUCACUGGUGUUCGGGUUGUCAUGCCAAUGGCACUGCCCGGUAGCUAAAUGCGGAAAAGAUAAGUGCUGAAAGCAUCUAAGCACGAAACUUGCCC